RNAcentral lists this long non-coding RNA (2078 nucleotides) under Sus scrofa (pig). RNAcentral describes it as "lncRNA (ENSSSCG00070005286.1)". The record is from RNAcentral. Lineage: Eukaryota; Metazoa; Chordata; Mammalia; Artiodactyla; Suidae.
ACGCAAGGGGUCUGAUUCCUGGGCUUAGGCCGUUAACCCGGACACUGUUAAGGAAACUAGCAUUUGAACUGGAGUUUCAGUGAGACAAUCCAUGGAAACGUUCUUAGCACAGAGCCUGGCCUCUGCAGUAAACACCUCAGUGAUGUUCCCUGCAGCUUAUCUGUCCCCUCGGCAGGAGCAGAAUGGGGUUUGGGGGAAGAACAUAUAGGCUGUGGGAUCACGCUGAGCUUCCACAUCUUCAUUUCUUUUUUGAAGAUGAAAAAGGCCACAUCCCUUUUAGAGUUUUGUUUGGAUGACGACAGAAAACAGUGCUGAAGAGGCUGGCGCACGGGCCGGUCUUUAGUGGGGGCUCAAUCCCCUCACAUCCCAGGUUUAUCCCCAUGCAGACUACAUUCGCCGCACCGAGUCGCUUUUCAACCCACUGUGGUUGGGCUUUGGCCCUUGGCCAUCGCUGCAACUGUUCUGCAGAUACACGCACCUCCAGGGUGGUGGUGAGGCUUAAAGGCGCGCAGUGUGUGAUCUUCGCUUGGCGUAAAGAAUGUGACGGCGUUUGUGAUUAGUGAUGAAGACCCAACUGCAACAUUCCGCAGGCCCUGGAAAUUCUCCCCCUUCUGGAGUUUUCUGUGGACCAGCCAUCACAUUCAGAGUCAACAAAGUGACAGAGAAGAUGUUAAUCAGGUCAAAAAUCCUGAGCCAGGAUUCUCACCCGAGUUUGCAAGGCUGGAUAAAAAAGUGUAAAUGGAGUUCCCCAUUGUGGCUCAGCGGUGAGCGAACUCGACGAGCAUCCACGAGGACGCGGGUUGUUCGAUCCCUGGCCUCACUCAGUGGGUUAAGGAUCUGGCAUUGCCUGUGAGCUGUGGUGUAUGUUGCAGACAGGGCUCCGAUCCCCUGUUGCUGUGGCUGUGGCGCAGGCGGGUGGCUACAGCUCUGAAUGGACCCCUAGCCUGGGAACCUCCACAUGCCGCGGGUGCAGCCCUAAAAGACAAAAAGAACAACAACAAAAAAAGUGUGGAUGGAAACCAGGAAACUGAAAAACCCUUUAACAGCCAAAUCCUGGACUGAAAGUGGUUUGCAGCUAACCCACACCCAAGAAGGUGGAGCAAGGAAUGAGACAGAUGAAGCCUGCAACGCCGUUUUUCAGCAACGGCAAAGAAAUGGCACUCACGCCAGACCCUCUGAAUGACGUCCCGGGGAAAGGAAUUGAGAGCAAACUGAAUUGGGAGUAGGAGUUUCCUCAUCGCCUAGAGACGCCUUCCUCUGAUACUAAGACCCUGGCACACUGUUGCUUUCAUCACAGUUCACAGAAUCUCAGAUCUGGACGGAUGAGGUUGUCUCAGAAUCCUGGCAUCUUUAGAUGCCUUUCCUUCCAAAGGAUUCAUGGUAGGAUCCAGAAUUCUGGCCGAGCAUCUGGUAUACCUGAUACCCUGAUAUUGUAUCAAUAUAUUGUAGCUAUUCAAAACAAGGACCUCCAAGGAGUUCCCCUGGUGCCACCGUAGAGCAUUGAUCUGGGUUGUCUCUGUGGAGGCACCGGUGCCAUCCCAGGCUCCCAGUGUGGCUGCAGCUGUGGUGUAGGUCCCAGAUCCCUGCGGUCUUACCUCCUUAUUGGCUAUGUUACCGGCCUGAAAUAAUAAUCAGCUUCUAAGAGGCUUCUGCCGUGUGGUCCCCUCCAUCUUCAAACCAGCAACGGAGAACUCCUUGCAUGUUAAGUACGGUACUUCAGCUCUUUUUAUCCAGAAAGGGUCCCCAUCCUUUUAAAGAACUUGCCUGAGGCCAAGCCCACUAAGCAUAACCUCCCUGUCUUAAACUCAGUUUUGCCAAACAGCAUGAGCCCAUCACCAAAGAGAUGGCCCAUCAUAUCUGCAGCUUUCUCUUACACCGAGGACAGAGAAGAUGACACAGAUGACUGGGAGUCAAUUUAGAAUCCUGUCCACCAUAGUAACCAUCCAAAUACCGCUCCUAGAUUUAGCCUCCUAAAAAUUAGUUCAGAAACAUUGUACGUUUUCUCAAAAGCCAGUAAGUGGUUGCUCAUUACCAACCAAAUUUAAGCUAAACAAAAUAAAUCCACAGUUCAGUAUUCA